GCGGAGGGCCGGAUGGCCGCGGGCCGGUAUCGGUCCGAGGAAAGUCCGGACUCCCUGAAGCGACGGUGCCGGGUAACGCCCGGGCAGGGCAACCUGACGGACAGCGCCACAGAAAACAGACCGCCGCGGGCUUUCCGCGGUCAGGGUGAAACGGUGGGGUAAGAGCCCACCGGGGGGCCGGCAACGGCGCCCGCAUGGCAAGCCCCACCGGGAGCAAUGCCAAAUAGGGAUCUCGCGCGGGGCUUUGUCCUCGCAGGGCCGCUUCAGCCCGAGAGAUCCGGGUUGGCAGCUCGAGCCGCCGGGCAACCGGCGGCCCAGAGGAAUGGUCAUCUCCGCCCUUCGCGGGUGCAGACAGAAUCCGGCUUACAGGCCCUCCGCGCGC
This 382-nucleotide RNase P RNA is filed under the name Roseivivax sediminis. Its description in RNAcentral is "Roseivivax sp. YIM D21 Bacterial RNase P class A". It matches the Rfam family "Bacterial RNase P class A". From Rfam's summary of the family: Ribonuclease P (RNase P) is a ubiquitous endoribonuclease, found in archaea, bacteria and eukarya as well as chloroplasts and mitochondria. Its best characterised activity is the generation of mature 5'-ends of tRNAs by cleaving the 5'-leader elements of precursor-tRNAs. The record is from Rfam by way of RNAcentral. Lineage: Bacteria; Pseudomonadati; Pseudomonadota; Alphaproteobacteria; Rhodobacterales; Roseobacteraceae.